RNAcentral lists this ribosomal RNA (402 nucleotides) under uncultured bacterium. RNAcentral describes it as "bacterial SSU rRNA". It matches the Rfam family "Bacterial small subunit ribosomal RNA", at positions 355 to 774 of the family's 1533-position model. The record is from RNAcentral.
UAGGGAAUAUUAGUAAUGGGCGAAAGCCUGAACUAGCAACGCCGCGUGUGCGAAGAAGGCCUUCGGGUUGUAAAGCACUUUUUGAGAGGAUGAGGAAGGACGGUACUCUCAGAAUAAGUCUCGGCUAACUACGUGCCAGCAGCCGCGGUAACACGUAGGAGGCGAACGUUAUCCGGAUUUACUGGGCGUAAAGCGCGUGUAGGUGGUCUGGUAAGUAGGGCGUGAAAGCUCCUGGCUCAACUGGGAGAGGCCGUUCUAAACUGCCGAACUAGAGGGUGGUAGAGGGAGGUGGAAUUCCGGGUGUAGCGGUGGAAUGCGCAGAUAUCCGGAGGAACACCAGUGGCGAAAGCAGCCUCCUGGACCAUUCCUGACACUCAGACGCGAAAGCUAGGGUAGCAAACG